GACGAACGCUGGCGGCGUGCCUAAUACAUGCAAGUAGAACGCUGAAGCGAGGAGCUUGCUCUUCUUGGAUGAGUUGCGAACGGGUGAGUAACGCGUAGGUAACCUGCCUUGUAGCGGGGGAUAACUAUUGGAAACGAUAGCUAAUACCGCAUAACAAUGGAUGACACAUGUCAUUUAUUUGAAAGGGGCAAUUGCUCCACUACAAGAUGGACCUGCGUUGUAUUAGCUAGUAGGUGAGGUAAUGGCUCACCUAGGCGACGAUACAUAGCCGACCUGAGAGGGUGAUCGGCCACACUGGGACUGAGACACGGCCCAGACUCCUACGGGAGGCAGCAGUAGGGAAUCUUCGGCAAUGGGGGCAACCCUGACCGAGCAACGCCGCGUGAGGGAAGAAGGGUUUCGGAUCGUAAAGCUCUGUUGUAAGUCAAGAACGGGUGUGAGAGUGGAAAGUUCACACUGUGACGGUAGCUUACCAGAAAGGGACGGCUAACUACGUG
This 497-nucleotide ribosomal RNA is filed under the name uncultured bacterium. RNAcentral describes it as "partial 16S ribosomal RNA". It matches the Rfam family "Bacterial small subunit ribosomal RNA", at positions 28 to 507 of the family's 1533-position model. The record is from RNAcentral.